This 437-nucleotide small RNA is filed under the name Histoplasma capsulatum var. duboisii H88. RNAcentral's name for it is "Histoplasma capsulatum H88 hypothetical RNA". The record is from RNAcentral. Lineage: Eukaryota; Fungi; Ascomycota; Eurotiomycetes; Onygenales; Ajellomycetaceae.
UAGCCCUGGCUCAGCUUCUGGUGAGUAGUCUUAGUCGAUUCUUAUGGAAGGAUUUGCGGCAAACCUCAUAAAUAUAGGGUAGGGUAGGUUCUUGGCAGUUGAUAGGAUGAUAAUAUUGAAUAGAGAGAGGAUCGAUCGUGUAUGUUGGAUGAAGAAGGGUGGUAAGUAUGGCUGAUUGUUCGAUGGAUGGCUUCCAUUAAGGUUUGAGAUAAACACGCCUUCAACUAGAAUAGAAGACGCGGUAAAGAGGGUGGUGCAAUAUGAGAGACAGCAUGCCUACUGAUUGCUAAAGAAUUCAAUUAAUCAUAGCAAUAUGAGAAGCAGCAAGCCUACCAGGGGCAUUACAUGCAUCAUGAUUGCAAAAACAACUUAAAAGGAGACAGCUGGCUUUUUCAAGGCACCUAACCUGCUCCAAAACCAACAACAAUCAUCACCAC